GACGAACGCUGGCGGCGUGCUUAACACAUGCAAGUCGAACGGUGAAGCGCCUUCCUUUUUGGUGGGUGUGGAUGAGUGGCGAACGGGUGAGUAACACGUGAGUAACCUGCCCCCUUCUUCUGGAUAACCGCAUGAAAGUGUGGCUAAUACGGGAUAUUCUGGGUCUGUCGCAUGAUGGGUCUGGGAAAGAUAUUGUUUCGGUGGGGGAUGGGCUCGCGGCCUAUCAGCUUGUUGGUGGGGUGAUGGCCUACCAAGGCGGUGACGGGUAGCCGGCCUGAGAGGGUGGACGGUCACACUGGAACUGAGACACGGCCCAGACUCCUACGGGAGGCAGCAGUGGGGAAUAUUGCACAGUGGGCGCAAGCCUGAUGCAGCGACGCCGCGUGAGGGAUGGAGGCCUUCGGGUUGUGAACCUCUUUCGCCAGUGAAGCAGGCCUGCCUCGUUUGUGGGUGGGUUGACGGUAGCUGGAUAAGAAGCGCCGGCUAACUACGUG
Molecule: ribosomal RNA, 494 nt
Filed under: uncultured bacterium
Lineage: Bacteria
Description: partial 16S ribosomal RNA
Rfam family: Bacterial small subunit ribosomal RNA
Source: RNAcentral